RNAcentral lists this non-coding RNA (26 nucleotides) under Homo sapiens (human). Lineage: Eukaryota; Metazoa; Chordata; Mammalia; Primates; Hominidae. The record is from RNAcentral.
UGGGAAAGGCGUGACCCAACGAGAGC